GGAGGGAUAGGGUUCGACUCGGAGAGGGAGCCUGAGAAAUGGCUACCACAUCCAAGGAAGGCAGCAGGCSCSCAAAUUACCCAAUCCCGACACGGGGAGGUAGUGACAAGAAAUACCGAUACAGGACUCUUUUGGGUCUUGUAAUUGGAAUGAGUACAAUUUAAAACCAUUAACAAGGAACAAUUGGAGGGCAAGUCUGGKGCCAGCAGCCGCGGUAACUCCAGCUCCAAUAGCGUAUAUUAAAGUUGUUGCAGUUAAAAAGCUYGUAGUUGAACUUUGGUUCUGGCUGGCCGGUCCGCCUCACCGCGUGUACUGGUCUGGSUGGGACUUUCCUYUUAGGGAACCGCAUGCCCUUUACUGGGUGUGUUGGGAAAMUAGGACUUUUACUUUGAAAAAAUUAGAGUGUUCAAAGCAGGCAAUUGCUYGGAUACAUUAGCAUGGAAUAAUAAAAUAGGACGUGUGGUUCUAUUUUGUUGGUUUCUAGGACCGCCGUAAUGAUUAAUAGGGAUAGUUGGGGGCAUCAGUAUUCAAUUGUCAGAGGUGAAAUUCUUGGAUUUAUUGAAGACUAACUACUGCGAAAGCAUUUGCCAAAGAUGUUUUCAUUAAUCAGGAACGAAAGUUAGGGGAUCGAAGACGAUCAGAUACCGUCGUAGUCUUAACCGUAAACUAUGCCGACUAGGGAUCGGGKGGUGUUUCUAUUAUGACUCACUCGGCACCUUACGAGAAAUCAAAGUUUUUGGGUCUGGGGAGUAUUSAAGGYU
Molecule: ribosomal RNA, 761 nt
Filed under: Gliocephalis hyalina
Lineage: Eukaryota; Fungi; Ascomycota
Description: SSU rRNA
Source: RNAcentral